This 476-nucleotide ribosomal RNA is filed under the name Pseudomonas anguilliseptica. RNAcentral describes it as "bacterial SSU rRNA". It matches the Rfam family "Bacterial small subunit ribosomal RNA", at positions 9 to 514 of the family's 1533-position model. Lineage: Bacteria; Pseudomonadati; Pseudomonadota; Gammaproteobacteria; Pseudomonadales; Pseudomonadaceae. The record is from RNAcentral.
GAGUUUGAUCCCUGGCUCAGAUUGAACGCUGGCGGCAGGCCUAACACAUGCAAGUCGAGCGGUAGAGAGAAGCUUGCUUCUUCUUGAGAGCGGCGGACGGGUGAGUAAUGCCUAGGAAUCUGCCUAGUGGUGGGGGAUAACGUUCGGAAACGGACGCUAAUACCGCAUACGUCCUACGGGAGAAAGCGGGGGACCUUCGGGCCUCGCGCCAUUAGAUGAGCCUAGGUCGGAUUAGCUAGUUGGUGAGGUAAAGGCUCACCAAGGCGACGAUCCGUAACUGGUCUGAGAGGAUGAUCAGUCACACUGGAACUGAGACACGGUCCAGACUCCUACGGGAGGCAGCAGUGGGGAAUAUUGGACAAUGGGCGAAAGCCUGAUCCAGCCAUGCCGCGUGUGUGAAGAAGGUCUUCGGAUUGUAAAGCACUUUAAGUUGGGAGGAAGGGAGUAACUUAAUACGUGCUACUUGCGUACCGCAG